Molecule: transfer RNA, 66 nt
Filed under: Microcanthus strigatus (stripey)
Lineage: Eukaryota; Metazoa; Chordata; Actinopteri; Centrarchiformes; Kyphosidae
Description: tRNA-Cys
Source: RNAcentral
AGUCCCGAGGUGUUAUCAUAACAGCUUGCAAGUCUGAAGUAGCAGGUUAGACUCCUGCCGGGGCUU